Molecule: non-coding RNA, 8234 nt
Organism: Durio zibethinus
Lineage: Eukaryota; Viridiplantae; Streptophyta; Magnoliopsida; Malvales; Malvaceae
Source: RefSeq, a predicted model, not a curated record
CCCAAAGAAGUGUUGUGGAAAGGUGAAGAGAACGUGGUAGCUGGGAGCUACUACAGUCUAUCUAGGACGAACAAAUGAGAAAGAAAAAAAAACAAAAAAAGAGGGGUAAGAACAAAGGGAGGAGUUUGAGGGAGGGGCAGGUACCACGUGCAGAUUGUCAUUAAAAAGGCCGUUAAAGCCACUUGAAAACGAGCCACCUUCCUUCCGCUACCCCAAACCUAACUCCCUGCUAAGGCUUAACUGCUAAUAUUAAGGAUUUCAUAACAUUGCUUUGCAUGUUGCAAAUUCAACACACAUUCAACAUUUCGUUUCGGCUUUGCUUUUUUGAUCCGCUUUAUCUCUUCCUUUCUCUCUCUCUUCUGUUUUCGUUCACCAAAGAAAAUUUGAAGUAUGCUUCAUACCAAUAUAACAAAUUGAAAGACUUUGUUUUGAUCUCAACCUUCCUGGAUUCAAGUUCUUUUUGACAGCAUGUCAGAGGCCCAAAGAAGGUCAGCUAUGGCUGGUGUUGGGCGUGGAAACAAUGGAUACAUAAAUGGGGUAUUGCCGAUCAGGAGCCCUGCUACAAUAUCUGAAGUAGAUGAAUUCUGUUUUUCACUUGGAGGGAAGAAGCCGAUCCAUAGUAUUUUAAUUGCAAACAAUGGAAUGGCUGCUGUUAAAUUUAUACGUAGUAUUAGGACAUGGGCUUAUGAGACGUUUGGCACAGAAAAGGCAAUCUUGUUGGUGGCCAUGGCCACUCCUGAGGACAUGAGAAUCAAUGCAGAGCAUAUUAGAAUUGCUGAUCAGUUUGUGGAAGUUCCUGGUGGGACAAAUAAUAAUAACUAUGCCAAUGUGCAGCUUAUUGUAGAGAUGGCAGAGAUAACACAUGUUGAUGCGGUUUGGCCCGGCUGGGGUCAUGCAUCAGAAAACCCUGAGCUGCCCAAUGCACUGAAUGCAAAGGGAAUCAUUUUUCUUGGGCCGCCUUCGGUCUCUAUGGCAGCAUUGGGAGAUAAGAUUGGUUCAUCAUUGAUUGCUCAAGCAGCAGAUGUGCCAACCCUUUCAUGGAGUGGUUCUCAUGUGAAAAUUCCUGCAGAAAGUUGCCUAGUUUCUAUUCCAGAUGAAAUAUAUAGCAAAGCAUGUGUUUAUACAACAGAGGAAGCAAUUGCAAGUUGUCAAGUUGUUGGUUAUCCUGCAAUGAUCAAGGCAUCUUGGGGUGGCGGUGGUAAAGGCAUAAGAAAGGUUCAUAAUGAUGAUGAAGUUAGGGCACUAUUCAAACAAGUGCAAGGUGAAGUUCCAGGUUCACCUAUAUUUAUAAUGAAAGUUGCUUCACAGAGCCGGCAUUUAGAGGUCCAGUUACUCUGUGAUCAGUAUGGGAAUGUUGCAGCUUUGCAUAGCCGUGACUGUAGUGUUCAGAGGCGGCACCAGAAGAUUAUUGAGGAGGGUCCAAUCACUGUGGCUCCAUUGGAGACAGUCAAAAAGCUGGAGCAAGCAGCUAGAAGGUUAGCUAAAUGUGUUAAUUAUGUUGGGGCAGCUACUGUUGAAUAUCUGUAUGGUAUGGACACUGGCGAGUACUAUUUUCUAGAGCUCAACCCUCGGUUACAGGUGGAGCAUCCUGUCACAGAGUGGAUUGCUGAAGUAAAUCUGCCAGCUGCCCAAGUUGCAGUCGGGAUGGGUAUCCCUCUCUGGCAAAUUCCUGAAAUACGGCGAUUCUAUGGAAUGAAACAUGGUGGAGGUUAUGAUUCAUGGAGGAAAACAUCUGUUGUUGCCAUGAGUUUCGAUUUUGACAAGGCAGAGUCAACAAGGCCGAAAGGUCACUGUGUAGCUGUGCGCGUGACAAGUGAGGAUCCAGAUGAUGGUUUUAAACCUACCAGUGGAAAAGUACAGGAGUUGAGUUUUAAAAGCAAGCCAAAUGUGUGGGCUUACUUCUCUGUUAAGUCAGGAGGAGGCAUUCAUGAAUUUUCAGAUUCUCAAUUUGGACAUGUCUUUGCUUUUGGGGAAUCCAGAGCUUUGGCUAUAGCAAAUAUGGUUCUUGGGUUGAAAGAAAUUCAAAUCCGUGGAGAAAUUCGUACAAAUGUUGAUUACACAAUUGACCUUUUGCAUGCUUCAGAUUACAGAGAAAAUAAAAUCCACACUGGUUGGUUGGACAGUAGAAUUGCUAUGCGAGUUAGAGCUGAAAGGCCUCCUUGGUAUCUCUCAGUUGUUGGAGGAGCUCUCUACAAAGCAUCAGCCAGCAGUGCAGCUAUGGUUUCAGAUUAUGUUGGUUAUCUAGAAAAGGGUCAAAUCCCUCCCAAGCACAUAUCACUUGUGCAUUCUCAAGUGUCCUUGAACAUUGAAGGAAGCAAAUACACGAUUGACAAGGCUAGGGGGGGACCAGGAAGUUAUAGGUUGAGAAUGAAUGACUCAGAGAUUGAGGCAGAGAUACAUACAUUAAGAGAUGGUGGUUUAUUGAUGCAGUUGGAUGGAAACAGUCAUGUCAUUUAUGCAGAGGAAGAAGCUGCCGGUACUCGCCUUCUAAUUGAUGGAAGGACUUGCCUGCUACAGAAUGAACAUGACCCGUCAAAAUUAGUGGCUGAAACACCAUGCAAACUGCUGAGAUUUUUGGUUUCUGAUGGUAGUCAUAUAGAUGCUGACACACCAUAUGCAGAGGUUGAAGUUAUGAAAAUGUGUAUGCCUCUUCUUUCACCUGCUUCAGGAAUUAUUAAAAUCAAAAUGUCUGAAGGUCAAGCAAUGCAGGCUGGCGAGCUUAUUGCUAGGCUUGAUUUGGAUGAUCCUUCUGCUGUUAGGAAAGCUGAACCAUUCCAUGGGAGCUUUCCUUUACUGGGGCCUCCCACUGCAAUAGCUGGUAAAGUUCAUCAGAGAUGUGCUGCAAGUUUAAAUGCAGCCCGCAUGAUUCUUGCUGGUUAUGAGCAUAAUAUUGAUGAAGUAGUUCAAAGCCUGCUAAAUUGUCUUGACAGUCCUGAGCUGCCUUUCCUCCAAUGGCAAGAAUGCAUGUCUGUUCUGGCAACCAGGCUUCCCAAAAAUCUUAAAAAUGAGCUGGAGUCAAAGUGUAAAGGGUUUGAAGCAAUUUCAAGCUCCCUGAAUAUUGACUUUCCUGCCAAGUUAUUGAAAGGAGUCCUAGAAUCCUAUCUAUCCUCUUGUCCUGAAAAAGAAAGAGGAUCCCUAGAAAGGCUUAUUGAGCCAUUGAUGAGUCUCGUGAAGUCUUAUGAUGGUGGAAGAGAGAGCCAUGCCCGUGUUAUCGUGCGGUCCCUUUUUGAAGAGUAUCUAUCUGUUGAAGAGUUAUUCAGUGACAACAUCCAGGCUGAUGUGAUUGAACGUCUUCGACUUCAGUAUAAGAAAGAUCUUUUAAAGGUUGUGGACAUUGUGCUAUCUCAUCAGGGUGUCAAGAGUAAAAAUAAAUUGAUACUCAGACUCUUGGAACAACUCGUUUAUCCUAACCCUGCUGCUUAUAGAGAUCAACUAAUCCGAUUCUCUUCAUUAAACCAUACAAGUUAUUCUGAGUUGGCAUUGAAGGCAAGUCAAUUACUGGAACAAACCAAAUUAAGUGAACUUCGCUCCACCAUUGCUAGAAACCUUUCUGAAUUAGAAAUGUUUACUGAGGAUGGUGAAACUAUGGACACUCCCAAGAGAAAAAGUGCCAUUAAUGAAAGAAUGGAGGAUCUCGUUGGUGCUCCUUUAGCUGUUGAAGAUGCUCUUGUAGGUCUGUUUGAUCAUAGUGAUCACACCCUUCAGAGGCGGGUUGUAGAGACUUAUGUUCGGAGGCUAUACCAGCCUUAUCUUGUAAAGGGAAGUGUCCGGAUGCAGUGGCAUAGAUCUGGUCUUAUUGCUUCCUGGGAGUUCUUGGAAGAGCAUAUUGAGAAAAAGAAUGUGUCUGAUGAACAAAUGUCUGAUAAACCAUUAGUUGAGAAACAUAGUGAGAGGAAUUGGGGAGCCAUGGUUAUAAUUAAAUCUCUCCAACUUUUGCCUGCAAUUAUUAAUGCAGCAUUGAGGGAAACAACUCAUAGCCUUCAUGGAGUAACUCUAAAAGGAUCUGUAGAACCAACUACCUUUGGUAAUAUGAUGCAUAUUGCACUGGUGGGCAUCAACAAUCAGAUGAGUUUACUUCAGGAUAGUGGCGAUGAGGAUCAAGCUCAAGAGAGAAUCAAUAAGUUAGCAAAAAUACUUAAAGAUAAAGAGGUGGGGUCAAGUCUACAUUCUGCAGGUGUUGGGGUCAUUAGCUGUAUCAUACAGAGAGAUGAAGGGCGAACACCUAUGAGGCACUCAUUUCAUUGGUCAACUGAAAAGCUCUAUUACGAGGAAGAACCUCUUUUGCGUCAUCUAGAACCUCCUCUAUCCAUAUACCUUGAAUUGGAUAAGCUUAAAGGUUACCAGAAUAUACAGUAUAUGCCAUCUCGUGACCGUCAAUGGCACUUAUACACUGUUGUGGACAAGCCACUGCCAAUUCAGAGGAUGUUUCUCAGAACGCUAGUCAGGCAGCCUACGACAGAUGAUGGGCUUACAGCAUAUAGGGGACUUGAUUUUGACAUGAUGCAUAGUCAAUGGGCUACAUCUUCUACUUCAAGGAGCAUUUUGAGGUCCUUAAUGACUGCAAUGGAGGAGUUGGAGCUUAACGUUCACAAUGCUACUCUAAAAUCUGACCAUGCACAUAUGUAUCUUUGUAUCUUACGAGAGCAACAGAUAAAUGACCUUGUGCCUUAUCCCAAGAGAGUUGACCUAGAAGCUGUACAAGAAGAAGCUGCAGUAGAGUCAAUCUUAGAAGAACUGGCUCAGGAAAUUCAUGCAUUUGUUGGUGUAAGAAUGCAUAAGUUAGGUGUUUGUGAGUGGGAAGUGAAGCUCUGGAUGGAAUCUUCUGGACAAGCAAAUGGUGCUUGGAGAGUUGUGGUGACAAAUGUGACUGGCCAGACAUGCACUGUACAUAUAUACCGAGAACUAGAAGAUACUAGCCAACACAGAGUUGUGUACCAUUCGCUUUCUGUAAGGGGUCCUCUGCAUGGUGUACCACUUAAUGCUCACUAUCGGCCUUUGGGUGUUAUUGACCGUAAACGACUAAUGGCAAGGAAGAACAAUACCACUUAUUGCUAUGACUUUCCAUUGGCAUUUGAGACUGCCUUGCAACAGUCAUGGACAUCUCAGUUCCCAGGUAUUAAAAAACCCAAAGAUAAACUUCUUCCUAAGGUCACGGAGCUUGUAUUUGCUGACCAAAAAGGUAACUGGGGCACUCCUCUUGUUCCUGUCGAGCGCCAGCCCGGACUAAAUGAUGUUGGCAUGGUAGCCUGGUGCAUGGAAAUGUCUACUCCUGAGUUCCCUUCUGGAAGAACAAUUUUGAUAGUUGCGAAUGAUGUGACCUUCAAAGCUGGUUCUUUUGGCCCAAGAGAGGAUGCAUUCUUUCUUGCUGUAACUGAUCUUGCCUGCACUAAGAAACUGCCCUUAAUUUAUUUGGCUGCUAACUCUGGUGCCCGUAUCGGGGUAGCUGAGGAAGUCAAAGCCUGCUUUAAAGUUGGUUGGUCUGAUGAAUACAGCCCUGAGCGUGGUUUUCAGUAUGUUUACUUAACUCCUGAGGAUUAUGCUAGAAUUGGAUCAUCUGUCAUUGCACAUGAGAUAAAGCUGGAGUGUGGAGAGAGCAGGUGGGUUAUAGAUACUAUUGUUGGGAAGGAAGAUGGUUUGGGGGUUGAGAACUUAACUGGUAGUGGGGCCAUUGCUGGUGCAUACUCUAGAGCAUACAAGGAAACCUUUACCCUAACAUAUGUGACUGGUAGAACUGUGGGAAUUGGUGCUUAUCUUGCUCGUCUUGGCAUGCGGUGCAUACAGAGACUUGAUCAACCCAUUAUUUUGACUGGUUUCUCUGCAUUGAAUAAACUUCUUGGUCGUGAGGUGUACAGCUCCCACAUGCAACUUGGUGGACCUAAAAUCAUGGCAACAAAUGGGGUUGUCCAUCUCACCGUCUCAGAUGAUCUUGAAGGGGUGUCAGCUAUUUUGAACUGGCUAAGUUGCAUUCCUCCUCAUAUAGGUGGUCCACUUCCCAUUUUGAGUCCUUCAGAUCCUCCUGAAAGACCUGUGGAUUACUUCCCAGAAAAUUCAUGUGAUCCUCGUGCAGCUAUUUGUGGUGCUUUAGAUGGCAGUGGGAACUGGAAGGGAGGUAUUUUUGACAGGGAUAGCUUUGUGGAGACACUGGAAGGUUGGGCUAGAACAGUAGUGACAGGAAGGGCAAAGCUUGGAGGAAUCCCUGUAGGAAUAGUUGCUGUUGAGACACAGACAGUAAUGCAGGUUAUCCCCGCUGAUCCAGGACAACUUGAUUCCCAUGAGAGGGUUGUCCCUCAAGCUGGACAGGUAUGGUUUCCAGAUUCUGCUACAAAGACGGCUCAGGCAAUAAUGGAUUUCAAUAGGGAAGAGCUUCCACUUUUCAUUCUUGCCAAUUGGAGAGGCUUCUCUGGUGGGCAAAGGGAUCUUUUUGAGGGUAUCCUUCAGGCUGGAUCAACCAUCGUUGAGAAUCUUAGAAUGUACAAACAACCUGUUUUUGUGUACAUUCCCAUGAUGGGUGAGCUUCGUGGUGGGGCAUGGGUUGUUGUGGACAGCCGGAUAAAUUCAGACCAUAUUGAAAUGUAUGCUGAGCGCACUGCUAAGGGUAAUGUACUUGAGCCGGAAGGAAUGAUUGAAAUCAAGUUUAGGACAAAGGAGCUACUGGAGUGCAUGGGCAGGCUCGACCAACAACUUAUAAGUUUGAAGGCAAAACUUCAGGAAGCGAAGAGCAAUGGAGCCCAUGCACUGGUGGAUUCUCUGCAGCAGCAGAUAAGAUCACGUGAGAAGCAGCUUUUGCCAGUAUACACCCAGAUAGCCACUAAAUUUGCAGAACUUCAUGAUACUUCUCUGAGGAUGGCAGCAAAAGGGGUGAUAAAAGAAGUUGUUGACUGGGAUCGUUCACGCUCUUUCUUCUAUAGAAGAUUGCACCGGAGAAUUGCUGAGAGUUCUAUGGUCAAAAUUGUAAAAGAUGCUGCUGGUGACCAACUGUCAGAUAAAUCUGCAAUGGACUUGAUCAAGAAAUGGUUUUUGGAUUCCAAUGUUGCAAAGGGAAGAGAGGAUGCUUGGGUUAAUGAUGAAGCUUUCUUUUCAUGGAAGGAUGAUCUGAGAAAUUAUAGUGAGAAGCUACAAGAGCUGCGGGUCCAAAAGGUAUUGCUUCAGCUUACAAAUAUUGGCCAUUCAGCUUCAGAUAUGCAAGCUCUACCUCAAGGUCUUGCUGCCCUUCUAAACAAGAUGGAGCCAUCAAGCAGAAAACAAAUAGUUGAUGAACUUCGUAAGGUGCUUGGUUGAUUAAGAAGUUGGUAAUUCAUGCGAUUAAGGUCCUGCAAUUUUCUCAUUCUUGUGCUACUUGCAUUAAAAUUUUGGAAACUUGAUACCAUGCCUGGCGUGGAUCUUCUGCAACAAUUCACCUACUAUUUACAGUGGUGAUUCUGUUGGCUACAUGAAGCUUCUUGAAAAGUGGAGGUGGUGGCAGACUUGGCCUAGUCUGUAGUUUUCACAGAUUCAAUGCAAAUCAGAAACUCAACCUAAGGCAGACUUCAUAAAUUCUUUAGCUAUCUCUUGGGUUCUUGUCUUUUCUUUGGCCUUCAUCUCCUUUUCUUUUAGGCUGGCUCUACUCAGUUAUUUCUCUUUCAAUAUUUCCUUCAUUAAUCCUCUUUUGAUGCUGAAAAACAUCUUGGUAGGCAAAGUACUGGCAGUUUCAACUUAAGCUAGGUUGGUAAAUUGAGUUUAUAAGUUUCAGAAUCAUUGUAUUUGUAAAUGAAGAAAUUAUUCAUCUUAGUAAGUUUUGGAUUUGUGGUGUCUUACAUCUCAAGUUAGAUACCAACAAUAUAUCCAACUAUAAGCCAUUAAUUUCUCCCCCAUUUACCUAAAGAUUUGUUCAAAAGGUUUAUUUCUUUUUUUUUUUUCAUUAAUUGGUUAAAGCAAAUGAAACACUCCGACGCUUAAUUUUUAUACAAGCAAAAGCUAUUUUAUAAGUAUUUAAACUAAAUCAAUAUAUAUAUGCAAGUACAGAAAUAUGGAGCCGCCAGGCGGCAGGGGGGCAUAUUGAAAAUUCUAAAUGAUUUUAUUUUUAUAAAAUUGAAAACUGAAAAGAGUGAGAAGAACAUGACAAAAGCAGAUAUAUAUGGUAACAGCACUCGAAACUUCUUUUUAAUAUUUUCUUGAUCAUUUCUUCUUCUUCUGCUCUAAUUGUUUCUUCUUCUUCUGCUGCUCUUCCAUUGCUAAUUGUUUCUUCUUCUUCCUCU